CAAGGAUCAUUAGUAGGUAUUACAAGAUUUAUUGGGUUUAGUAGUGUUUCAUUAGGCAGAAACAAGUUGGGUGAGGUUAAGUGGUUGUAUGUCAUAAAUAACCAUUGCGAAAGCGUUUUGAGUUCGUUAAGUGGAUGUUACAAGAGUUCUUAGUGGCUUUAAUUAGAUUGUUUUGCUUGCAAUAUUAAUAUACACACACACACACACACACACACACACACACACACAAAAUUAUCACAUGCACACCAAACACACACACAAAAAAAAAAAAAAAUUAUCACAUGCACACCAAACACACACACAUACACACACACCGGCCGUAGCGGAGAAGAUUGGGCGGUGUCCUCAGUCCUCACACCCACACCUUUGUCCACCCAGCAGUGAGUAGUACCAGAAUCCUUGGUGGGUACUGGUCUUGGAUAGUGGUACCGGAGAUGGAGCUGUUGAGAUAGGAUGCAAUUCAUGCAAAACAACUACUUCGGCUGUAUAGCACGAUGUUUGCUUCUUUAUUGGUAGAGUUUGUAUUGUUUUGAUAUUGCAUUUGUUCAUGGGAAUGUAAAUCUAGCUAUAAUCCGUAAUAAUAAGACCUUAUCUAGCUAUAUAUUUUUUAUUUUAUUUUUCGUUGAAAUAACACUUGUAAUUUUAUAAUUUUAACUUUGUUUAGAUAGCACUCCAAUUAAGGAUUGUCCUGGUGUUUGAUAUAAGACUUACAAAAUAUGAGAAACAUGACCCAAGUAAUAAUGUUCAAGAAAUUCUUGACUAACUAUUCGUAUUUUGAAAUUCACAAAUUUCUUCAUGGUGUCAAAAUAAAAAAGAAAACUAAAUUCUUUACAUGACGAAAAAAAAAUUGUGUUUCCUUUAUUUGGUUAGAAAGUAGAAGUUUUUAGUAUUCCGAAAAUGUAAUAUAGUGCAGUUUGGCUGUGCUCUUCUUUUUUUCACCAUUAUAAUGUUUUUGUGGCACCGUUAGUGAAAAGUACAGACGGUUCGUUGGACUGGCUUUGUAAACAAUGAACACUAGAGGCUGUGACACAGUCUGGACGGCACCAACAAACCCCCAAGAAGAAGAACCUGGCAUUGAUUUAAAAUUUUGAUUGUUAGUUUGAGUCAUUAGUUCAAGUAUUUGUUGUGUCUAAAAAUGUAGUGCAUUUCAGUCAGGGUGUUUUCUUUCUUCUCGCGAUUUUUAAAUGAAUUAUGUACAUAAAUAUUGGACCACAGUGAGACCUCACCCAUACCUUCCUCCCAGUAAGUGCAAUUCAGGAGAAGCUUUACCUGGUGCCUGGGCUUUUUGGAGGUAAAACUCCUGCCUCCUCAUGACCUGAGAUAGCUGAGCCACUGCGAGAGGCACGGGAAGAGGAUCUGAGGAGAUCCAGGAACAUGUGCUCAAGAGAUGAGUGGAGGGGCUGGGCCUUUGCUGGCCUGGUUGAGUGGAUCAAAUGCACUUCCUUGGGAGGUGUAGCCAGUGCCUCGCAUGCUAGUCAUGGGUCUUCGUAACCCAUCACUGGAACCACCUGUCUGCCCCAUAAAUUAUCAGUUAGGUCCCUGUUGAACUGUUCCAAGACGAGGUGCAGCACCUGUCAGCCGUAUGGCUGUGCCUGGUGUGCGGCUCUGUGUCUGUCAGUGGAAAUAUCAAGUGAUAGGUCAAAAUCAUAUAUUAUCAUUGGGCCUAUAAGACAGCAGAAUGAUUACCAAAAUGUAAGUUGACAACUUAUCAAAAACUAUAAAUAAGAGGGAAACUAACAAUUGACGUCCAACAAUAAAGUAUGAAAAGAUUAAUGCACUAAAAUAUUACAAGAAGGGAAACAUUUAAGACAUACAAAUAGAAUUGGGAUAAUGUUUAAAAUUCAGAUGAACUAUGAUUACUCUACAACAAUUUAAUGUUCAACAAAUGAGUAUCUUCAUGAUAAUGAUGACUAUCGAAAAAAGAAAAAUGUAUGUACAAUAUGUUCACAUUAAACAACCAUAAAUUACAAUAAAGCUUUUGGCUUAA
Portunus trituberculatus (swimming crab) is the source of this 1987-nucleotide long non-coding RNA. RefSeq lists it as uncharacterized. The transcript is spliced from 4 exons. The record is from RefSeq and is a predicted model, not a curated record. NCBI's taxonomy places the organism in Eukaryota, Metazoa, Arthropoda, Malacostraca, Decapoda, Portunidae.